CGUCGAGCCAGUCGACGACUUCAAGCCAACUGAAGAACCAGACGGAGAGACCAAAUUAUGCAAAACCCUAGCUACCACGAGAUCAACGAUCGUGUUGCUCUGAUACCAUAGAAGUGAGCCUAUUGCUUGUCCCAUAUUCGGCUGAUCGUGAUUUGGACCUUAUCCAGUGGCCUCCAUUUUUACUUGCUAGCAAGCUUCCCAUACUAUUGGACAUGGCUAAAGAUAGCAAUGGGAGAGACCGUGAG
Camellia sinensis is the source of this 245-nucleotide non-coding RNA. The record is from RefSeq and is a predicted model, not a curated record. Lineage: Eukaryota; Viridiplantae; Streptophyta; Magnoliopsida; Ericales; Theaceae.